This is a long non-coding RNA of Pecten maximus, 1259 nucleotides long. RefSeq lists it as uncharacterized. NCBI's taxonomy places the organism in Eukaryota, Metazoa, Mollusca, Bivalvia, Pectinida, Pectinidae. The transcript has 3 exons. The record is from RefSeq and is a predicted model, not a curated record.
GAUAUUUGCAAAAUUAUAGGGAAAUAUUCCCAAUAAAACUACUUGUCAAGUAUUUCCCUCUAUUGAAUCUCCUUGGUUUAAAUACACCAAGACUAAAUGAAAUUUUAUUUGAAGAAAUUGUAUAGCACUCUUUCACAGGCAUUGAAAAAGUUGAUGAACAAUGCACAACACACCAUACCAUAAGCUUAACUGGUACUUCGUGCCUGGUGAGCCAAAAAAUCAUUGUUCAUUCAUACUUGUUAUCCAAGGCACAGCCAACAUGGAAUAGGUAGAGAUUUGUAUUUUUGUAUAAAAUAAAAUGUUACGGAACUUUCCAAGAAUCGGUGUGAAAUCAUAAUCUGUAGUAAAAUUGAAGAAUUGUAUAAAUUUAAAGAGGUAUGGCGGAAAACAGCCAUCAAUAUAUAUAUGAAAAAACAGAUCGUAUUUCGGAAAUAUUCAUUUGUCCCGGAUUUGUACAAAAUACGUGUUUUGUGUAGUAAAAUUCGUAGUAAAAUGUCUCACGUGAUCAAACUUCAUUCAUGAGACUGGCUGAAUCGGAAAAAGUAUUAUGGAUGAUGUUGUCACGUGAUUUUAUGCUAUCUUCCAUACACAGUAAUCUCGCUGACCUGAACAUAUUCUUAGACACGUAGGACGCACACACUAGCGGAGCGAUACGCAUAGCAACCCGCCAUGUACCGCUUAAUUUCUUUCCCUUACUUGUAGCACCAAGGACUGGUACGUUUUCCUGUUGAGUGUCAAACUUCGAUGGUCGUACAUGUACGUUCUACGAACACUGAUAGCUGUGCAUCGAACAGAGCAGUCUACAUCGUCGAUAUUUCCCACAGAUGAUCCUGAUUAACUUCAACUAGCCGAAGACAAUAUCAGUGGAGGAGGCCAAAAGAGGCUAUCUAUAUUAAUUUUGGACAAAAAAUGUUGGAGAGAGCAGUUUUGAAUGAACAUUUUGUAGUGCUGGAGACAACAGCGGUUGGGAGCUUGUUCCACUCAACGAUGGUUCGGGGAAAGAAGAGUUGUUUUGUUGCAGAUUUUUAAGCUGAAUAUGUCAAAGUGUAUAUGAUACUGUAAAGUCCAAAUGGAAAGGUCCUUAAACAAAAUAUAUAACAGCACCAAAAUAAUCAAUACAUAAAGGAAUAAUGUACGGUUAUUACCAAAUGGCCAGGCGAUGAAUUCUUUCAUCAAAGCCAUGACAGCGUCGAUAACACAUGCGUUUGCCCUAGAGACGCUACUAACUGUGAUGUUGAACCGAUCGGCUAUUUCCCGAU